AUCCACUAUCUACAGUCUAUUCUGAGCCUUAAAUGGGUGGAAAGGAGAGUGGUGAGAUUAUAUAAUCCCAAUUAGUAAACAAAUACGAUCUAAAAUAUCUAAAGCUGAGUAAAUGGAGACAGAUUAAAAUAGAUCAUCAUACUGUAAUUUAUCACCUUUCAACUCAUUUUAACCAAAUAAAAUCAAUUCAUAUAAAUCGAGUAAUCAACAUGGCUUAUAAAUUUCUUAAAAUUUUGGUUCGUGCCAAAAUCAUUCUCAUACUCAGUUAUUAGGGAUACCUUGGCAUGGGGCUAUCCCAACCGAGUCCGCCAAGGCUGUUAAAAAUUUCGUAUACACAUAAACAUAUUUUUAUUUUGAAAACAUAGUCGUUCCUUGGCAUUGGCUGAGUUCACCCUCACGUGGUGGUUUGGCGUGAAGUGAACUCUAAGAGUGUACCUCGGGAGUUACCCUACACGCCUCUCCAACCGAGGUAAGAAUAUAACAGGGUUACCAUGCCCCUCUAAUAGGCUAAAUAAAAUCUAAACCCACCAAUUCAAUAAAAUCUCAAUCGCAUGACAUGGCAAUUAUAUCACAAUCUAACCUCUCAAGGCUAAAUACACAGUUCAUAUAUUUUCAGCACAUUUACCAAUUCAGCCAUUCAUGCAACUAUUGUCAUAAGCCAUUCGAUUCAAACCAUGAAUUUAAAAAACAUGAAAACAGUCUCCAAUUACUCUAUUUUCAAAACCAUCAUUCAAUCUCAAGACAAUUUUAUAAAAUCAUUUUCAUUUAAUCUCAUUUUGCUUAUAAAACAUAAAGAUUUACUAUUUAAUCUCAUUUUCCAUAAAAUCACAAAAUCGAAUAAAACCACUUUAGAUAAUUAAGACGAUAGUAAGGUUACUCACUAUUUUGGGAGUCGAAUUUCAAGUACUCCGAUUCUUGAUCCUCGGGUACUAUCUCUUUACUUUUGCCAGAAUGCUCACCACCUAGACAUAAUGCACAAUAAGCCAUUUACUACAUUUGUGCUAAAUUGUUAUAAAACCAAUUUAGGCUCUAUACUAAUGCAUGAAAUGGGAUGUAAAUUGUUCGGAUUAUCGUCUAAACACGAUGUUCUACACAAAUUUAAUUGUGUACUUAAAUAAAACGGUAUUGGCCUAAUUCGAUCUAUCACUCGAUUAAUUGGUCAAUAUGUCCAAUUCAACUCCAAUUAACUCCAUAUUUCUUCUAAUUCUCCAAAUCAUCAAACAUAAAUUAAAUAACUUGAAAUAUGGCAAAAUCAUCCUCACAUUUUUUCUUGGGAAUUUCGGCCGUGGUGGGUGCAUCAACACUUUGAUAUUUCCUACUUGAUUUUCUCACCAUAAUUCAUCAUUUCCUAACCAAUUCACUUGAAAUAAAAUCAAAUCCACCAUCCACACUUUACAUGGAAAAUUUAGCCAAUGAUGGGUGAUGGAAGAACAUGAAUUUUUCUUGCUUGAUUUUCAUGCUACACAUCACUAACUAACUAAAAACACUAAAAUAUCUUAAAAUCUAAUCAAAUCAAGCAUCAAAACUCCUCCCCCCAUGGUCGGCCAGCAAGGGAUUCAUCAUGCCAACUUGAUUCUCAACCAUGGAAAAUGCAAAAUAAUGCAUAGGAAAGGUAGAUCACAAGCUAGAAUUGAAAAAUCUUACCUUUUUUCACUUGUUUCCUUGAAUUUUCACACUUUUCCCUUGAAUUUUUCCACCUAGGUUUUUUGUUCUUCUUUUCUUCCUUUGUUCUUCCUUUGG
RNAcentral lists this long non-coding RNA (1740 nucleotides) under Theobroma cacao (cacao). Its description in RNAcentral is "long non-coding RNA (TCAC_LNC001981)". Lineage: Eukaryota; Viridiplantae; Streptophyta; Magnoliopsida; Malvales; Malvaceae. The record is from RNAcentral.